AGUUCCCAGAAGAAAGCACGCAAGCUUCUAGGAAAGACGAAAAUGCUUCAGAGAAAGAACGAUAGCUGGCAGUGACACCAGGUGUCCUGCACGGUGAUUUUUUUUAUCUGCACCCUGCUAGGCUUCAAGAAAAUGAGGGCAGAAUUUUUAAAAGGCUAAGCAGAAAGGCUUAAUAUGGGUAAGGAUUCCUUUGCUGAUGUGCACCCACUAUGGCUGCCUGAUUCCUGGGCAAGGUGCAGAUGUGCAGUGCUGAAGGAACCACACGGAGAACACUUUGCAAACACAUGGAGAGGACCUCUUGGAGCAUUAGAUGCCCUGCGGUAACCACAUGUCAUACUCCUGAUGCAGCUGAUUCCAGAGAUCUCAUUCCUGUUACGCCUCCCUGUUGCAGUUACUUGGACACAACUGUGUUGUCAAAGCAACUGCCUCUAUCAACUUAUCAACUUCCCAGGAAAAUAUAGUGGUCCAUACGAAUUCAUGCUAUGAAGAAACUGAGGCCCAGAGAGGGAAAACGACAUGCUGGAAGCCACACAGCAAAUCAGUGUUGGUGUUAAAACUUGUCAGUUAGUAUCCAGGAAGGAGUUAAAUAAUAGAUGUUUCCUAAAAUGUAUUUCAGGAGGACAUUGGUCUUUUGGGAUGGUCAAAUAUGUGUUGGGAACAUAGAUAUUGUAUUCAGUGUUAUUUGUUUGGAGAGUACACUGAAAUUCUGCAAUAAAGAAUCCUGUUGAGCUUCAAUUUAA
Felis catus (domestic cat) is the source of this 740-nucleotide long non-coding RNA. RefSeq lists it as uncharacterized. The transcript has 4 exons. The record is from RefSeq and is a predicted model, not a curated record. NCBI's taxonomy places the organism in Eukaryota, Metazoa, Chordata, Mammalia, Carnivora, Felidae.